RNAcentral lists this transfer RNA (73 nucleotides) under uncultured Brevinema sp. It matches the Rfam family "tRNA". Rfam says of the family: Transfer RNA (tRNA) molecules are approximately 80 nucleotides in length. Lineage: Bacteria; Pseudomonadati; Spirochaetota; Spirochaetia; Brevinematales; Brevinemataceae. The record is from RNAcentral.
GAGGUGUAACUCAGUUUGGUUAGAGUAUCGGCCUGUCACGCCGAAAGCCGCGGGUUCAAGUCCCGUCUCCUCC